Molecule: ribosomal RNA, 262 nt
Filed under: uncultured bacterium
Lineage: Bacteria
Description: partial small subunit ribosomal RNA
Rfam family: Bacterial small subunit ribosomal RNA
Source: RNAcentral
AGGACGAACGCUGGCGGCGUGCUUAACACAUGCAAGUCGAGCGGUAAGGCCUCCUUCGGGGGGUACACGAGCGGCGAACGGGUGAGUAACACGUGGGUGACCUGCCCUCAGCUCUGGGAUAAGCCUGGGAAAACCGGGUCUAAUACCGGAUAGGACUGCUUGUCGCAUGGUGGGUGGUGGAAAGUUUUUUCGGCUGGGGAUGGGCCCGCGGCCUAUCAGCUUGUUGGGUGGGGUGAUGGCCUACCGAAGGCGGUGACGGGUA